RNAcentral lists this ribosomal RNA (813 nucleotides) under Neophaenognatha jenseni. RNAcentral describes it as "eukaryotic LSU rRNA". It matches the Rfam family "Eukaryotic large subunit ribosomal RNA", at positions 385 to 957 of the family's 3401-position model. Lineage: Eukaryota; Metazoa; Arthropoda; Insecta; Coleoptera; Scarabaeidae. The record is from RNAcentral.
GAGUUCAAGAGUACGUGAAACCGUUCAGGGGUAAACCUGAGAAACCCGAAAGGUCGAACGGGGAGAUUCAGACGCGUCUCGGACAACCUCGGCAGUCGGUGACCGGUGACGGUUCGGCGUUCGCGCCGUCCGCACAGUUUCCGUUCCGUCCGUCGCCGAACGCGUGCACUUCUCCCCCUGUAGGACGUCGCGACCCGUUGGGCGCCGGCCUAAGGACCGCGGUGGAGCCCGGACGCGCAUUUGCGCGUUCGGACCCGUGGUGAUCCGGCCGGUGCGGUGGUACACACCGACGGUACAAUUAGUGGCGCGUGGCCGCGAACAGUUCGCGUCCGGCCGGCCUCAAGUGUGGACGGAAAACCUGGCAUCCGGACUCUGCGCCGGAUCCGGGCCCGCCCGGCUGCUGGAGGCCGUGUCCUCGGACAGACCCGAACACGCCCGUCGGCGACGCUAUAGCUUUGGGUACUUUCAGGACCCGUCUUGAAACACGGACCAAGGAGUCUAGCAUGUACGCGAGUCAUUGGGACUCUUUAAACCUAAAGGCGUAAUGAAAGUGAAGGUCCGCCUCGCGCGGACCGAGGGAGGAUGAGCGAUCUCGAGGGAUCGCUCCGCACUCCCGGGGCGUCUCGUUCUCAUCGCGAGAAGAGGCGCACCCAGAGCGUACACGCUGGGACCCGAAAGAUGGUGAACUAUGCCUGGUCAGGACGAAGUCAGGGGAAACCCUGAUGGAGGUCCGUAGCGAUUCUGACGUGCAAAUCGAUCGUCGGAACUGGGUAUAGGGGCGAAAGACUAAUCGAACCAUCUAGUAGCUGGUUC